This 276-nucleotide ribosomal RNA is filed under the name uncultured prokaryote. RNAcentral's name for it is "partial 16S ribosomal RNA". It matches the Rfam family "Bacterial small subunit ribosomal RNA", at positions 524 to 801 of the family's 1533-position model. The record is from RNAcentral.
UACGUAGGGGCUAGCGUUAUCCGGAAUUACUGGGCGUAAAGGGUGCGUAGGUGGUUUCUUAAGUCAGAGGUGAAAGGCUACGGCUCAACCGUAGUUAGCCUUUGAAACUGGGAAACUUGAGUGCAGGAGAGGAGAGUGGAAUUCCUAGUGUAGCGGUGAAAUGUGUAGAUAUUAGGAGGAACACCAGUUGCGAAGGCGGCUCUCUGGACUGUAACUGACACUGAGGCACGAAAGCGUGGGGAGCAAACAGGAUUAGAUACCCUGGUAGUCCCUGAG